GCCCGGAUGGUCUAGUGGUAUGAUUCUCGCUUGUAAGUUGCCCUGAUCAACAAUCGAUCAGUAAUUUCGAUACUAACGAAAAUAUCUAGUGGGCUAUAUAUGGUACCAAUCUGCGAGAGGUCCCGCGUUCAAACCGCGGUUCGGGCC
Aspergillus bertholletiae is the source of this 147-nucleotide non-coding RNA. Lineage: Eukaryota; Fungi; Ascomycota; Eurotiomycetes; Eurotiales; Aspergillaceae. The record is from the annotation of a GenBank genome assembly.